UCAGUAGCCGGCCUGAGAGGGCGACCGGCCACAUUGGGACUGAGACACGGCCCAAACUCCUACGGGGGGCAGCAGUGGGGAAUAUUGCACAAUGGGGGAAACCCUGAUGCAGCGACGCCGCGUGAAGGACGAAGUAUUUCGGUACGUAAACUUCUAUCAUCAGGGAAGAAAAUGACGGUACCUGACCAAGAAGCCCCGGCUAACUACGUGCCAGCAGCCGCGGUAAUACGUAGGGGGCAAGCGUUAUCCGGAUUUACUGGGUGUAAAGGGAGCGUAGACGGCCAUGCAAGUCUGAUGUGAAAACCCGGGGCUCAACCCCGGGACUGCAUUGGAAACUGUGCGGCUGGAGUGUCGGAGAGGCAAGUGGAAUUCCUAGUGUAGCGGUGAAAUGCGUAGAUAUUAGGAGGAACACCAGUGGCGAAGGCGGCUUGCUGGACGACGACUGACGUUGAGGCUCGAAAGCGUGGGGAGCAAACAGGAU
Molecule: ribosomal RNA, 481 nt
Filed under: uncultured bacterium
Lineage: Bacteria
Description: bacterial SSU rRNA
Rfam family: Bacterial small subunit ribosomal RNA
Source: RNAcentral